This is a non-coding RNA of Triticum aestivum (bread wheat), 125 nucleotides long. Lineage: Eukaryota; Viridiplantae; Streptophyta; Magnoliopsida; Poales; Poaceae. The record is from Rfam.
UCAGUACUCCCUCCGUCCGUAAAUACUUGUCCUAGAAAUGGUUGUAUCUAGACUUAUUUUAGUUAUAGAUACAUCCAUUUUCAACCAUUUUUAGGACAAGUAUUUCCGGACGGAGGGAGUACAUG